CAGUCGCCACGGGAAAACGAAGGGGGCUAGCGUUGUUCGGAAUUACUGGGCGUAAAGCGCGUGUAGGCGGGCUUUUAAGUCAGGGGUGAAAUGCCAAGGCUCAACCUUGGAACUGCCUUUGAUACUGGAAGUCUUGAAUCCGGGAGAGGUGAGUGGAACUGCGAGUGUAGAGGUGAAAUUCGUAGAUAUUCGCAAGAACACCAGUGGCGAAGGCGGCUCACUGGCCCGGAACUGACGCUGAGACGCGAAAGCGUGGGGAGCAAACAGGAUUAGAGACCCCCGUAGUCCCUGUCUCUUAUAA
RNAcentral lists this ribosomal RNA (301 nucleotides) under uncultured bacterium. RNAcentral's name for it is "partial 16S ribosomal RNA". It matches the Rfam family "Bacterial small subunit ribosomal RNA", at positions 509 to 809 of the family's 1533-position model. The record is from RNAcentral.